CUUAUAGAAUGUUAAACACUGACUGAGAACUUUUUCAAAGUUCAUUGAUUAUAUAAAAUUCAGUAAAGGUUGACUAUAGUUAUCUCUAUGUCUCAUCCAUGAGUGGGCCUAUGUAAUGACAUACACAUUUUGUAUGUCUCCCUGUAUCUGACACACCCACUUCAGGUCUUGUAGUCUCUAUUAAUGAGCUGAUGAGUUGAAUCAGGUGUAAUAGGUAAGGGAGACAUACAAAACGUGCAGGGCUUGGGGUGGGGGGAGGGGUACUCCAGGACAGGUUUGAGAACCACUGAUCUAAUGUCUAGACUCUAUUUAACCACAUCUUCGAUUGUGUGAGUGUGUGUGGUGACGUCAUUAGACGUGCUUGCUGCGUUUGGAAUAAGCUCCGCCCACUUGGCCAUUUCCCCCGCACAGGUGAAUGGACGCUAUUUAAUGAAUGAGCACAAGUAACUUUUCAAGCGCUAGUUGCCACUUCUUUGUCUAGAAUAUAUUUUGUAAAGAGGAAAGCAACAACAUGGUUUCAAAACUGGAGGACGCAAUGGAAGGCCUGAUUAAAGUGUUCCACACAUACUCCUCCAAAGAAGGAGACAAGUACAAGCUAAGCAAAGCUGAGCUCAAAAGCUUGCUUCAGGGAGAACUUAGUGACUUUUUAGCUGCGAGUAAAGACCCCAUGGUUGUGGAGAAGAUCAUGUCUGAUUUGGAUGAGAACCGGGAUGGAGAAGUGGACUUUCAGGAGUUUGUUGUGCUGGUGGCUGCUCUCACAGUGGCGUGUAAUGAAAUCUUUGUAAAGAGCAUGAAGAAUUAAUUGUCUUCCAUGUCUCUCUUCAGCUGUGUCAGAACAUUUUGUAAAUGUUAUUUAUCAGAAAUAAAGACUCAAUGACAUGCA
This is a long non-coding RNA of Cyprinus carpio (common carp), 883 nucleotides long. The record is from Ensembl. Lineage: Eukaryota; Metazoa; Chordata; Actinopteri; Cypriniformes; Cyprinidae.